RNAcentral lists this ribosomal RNA (467 nucleotides) under uncultured bacterium. RNAcentral's name for it is "partial 16S ribosomal RNA". The stretch from base 48 to 467 matches the Rfam family "Bacterial small subunit ribosomal RNA", at positions 38 to 507 of the family's 1533-position model. The record is from RNAcentral.
GGGGGGGGGGGGGGGGGGGGGGGGGGGGGGGGAGGGGGGGGGGGAGGGGGGGGGGGGCUGGGGGACGGGAGUGGCGAACGGGGGAGGGGGAGGGGGGUGAUGUGCCGUGCACUUCGGGAUAGGCCUGGGAAACUGGGUCUAAUACCGGAGAGGACGAUGGUUUGGAUGCCAUUGGGGAAAGGUUUUUCGGUGGGGGAUGAGCUCGCGGCCUAUCAGCUUGUUGGUGGGGUAAUGGCCUACCAAGGCGUCGACGGGUAGCCGGCCUGAGAGGGUGUACGGCCACAUUGGGACUGAGAUACGGCCCAGACUCCUACGGGAGGCAGCAGUGGGGAAUAUUGCACAAUGGGCGCAAGCCUGAUGCAGCGACGCCGCGUGGGGGAUGACGGCCUUCGGGUUGUAAACUCCUUUCUCUAGGGACGAAGCGUUUUGUGACGGUACCUGGAGAAGAAGCACCGGCUAACUACGUG